Molecule: transfer RNA, 90 nt
Filed under: Yarrowia lipolytica
Lineage: Eukaryota; Fungi; Ascomycota; Dipodascomycetes; Dipodascales
Also listed under: 1 other name
Rfam family: tRNA
About the family: Transfer RNA (tRNA) molecules are approximately 80 nucleotides in length. Their secondary structure includes four short double-helical elements and three loops (D, anti-codon, and T loops).
Source: Rfam by way of RNAcentral
GCCCGUUUAGCUUAGGGGUAGAGCGUUGCACUUGUAUUUUCAGAAUGUACUGGAAUGCAAAGGUCACUGGUUCGAUUCCAGUAUCGGGCA